Molecule: ribosomal RNA, 494 nt
Filed under: uncultured bacterium
Lineage: Bacteria
Description: partial 16S ribosomal RNA
Rfam family: Bacterial small subunit ribosomal RNA
Source: RNAcentral
GACGAACGCUGGCGGCGUGCUUAACACAUGCAAGUCGAACGGAAAGGCCUGCUUUCCCUUGUGGAUUGCGGGUACUCGAGUGGCGAACGGGUGAGUAACACGUGAGUGAUCUGCCCCCAACUUGGGUAUAAGCCUGGGAAACUGGGUCUAAUUCCCGAUAGGACUGCAGGGUGGUGCCUGUGGUGGAAAACGAUUUUCUAGUGGUUGGGGAUGAGCUCGCGGCCUAUCAGCUUGUUGGUGGGGUAAUGGCCUUCCAAGGCGGCGACGGGUAGCCGGCCUGAGAGGGUGGACGGCCACAUUGGGACUGAGAUACGGCCCAGACUCCUACGGGAGGCAGCAGUGGGGAAUAUUGCACAAUGGGCGGAAGCCUGAUGCAGCGACGCCGCGUGGGGGAUGACGGCCUUCGGGUUGUAAACUCCUUUCGACCGCGAGGAAGCCACCUGGUUGGAAGGGUGGUGACGGUAGUGGUAGAAGAAGCACCGGCUAACUACGUG